UGGGAGUUGGUUUUACCUGAAGACGGUGCGCUAACCCGCAAGGGAGGCACCCGGCCACGGUAGGGUCAGCGACUGGGGUGAAGUCGUAACAAGGUACCCGUAGGGGAACCUGCGGCUGGAUCACCUCCUUUCUAAGGAUGAUCCUUCAGCGAGCUCACGCUCACUAUCGGAUCGUUUUAAAAACAUCAGUGGCCAACAGAUCGCCAGAUCGUUGACCUGCAUUGGCGGGAUUUCGCCGUCUUCUUUUCUCUUUCUUCGCGGACAAACACCCGCUGGGCCUGCAUCAUGCAGGAUCCCACGGUCCCUGACGGGAUAUGCGUUAGGGGCUUGUAGCUCAGUUGGUUAGAGCGCGCGCUUGAUAAGCGUGAGGUCGGAAGUUCAAGUCUUCCCAGGCCCACCACUUUCAUCGAGUGAGCAUUCGUCUUCUGGUUACGGGGCCAUAGCUCAGCUGGGAGAGCGCGUGCUUUGCAAGCAUGAGGUCGUCGGUUCGAUCCCGUCUGGCUCCACCAGAUGGUUUGAUCACCGAGAUCUUGCACCGUCGUCCGCGAAACAUCACUUCGCAUCCUGCUAGUCUGGAUAGACAGCAAGAUGCGUGUUUUCUGACAUCGUAAAGAGGAGAUCGAUCCGAGUUGGGUCGUGCAGCAGAUUGUUGCGCGAACCUUCAUUAUCUCCGGAUCAUUUUCGGCGCUCGCCUUCAGCCGUGAGGUUGAAUGCGAGUUGUAAAAUGAUCCUUUUAGCGAAGCUUGACCGCCUCGCUAUCGGAACGAUCUUACGAAGCAAGCUGGUCUUUUCUAGUCAAUGUCCGGCUGCACGUACCAUUCAUCGAGGGUGCGCGCCGUAAGGCAAUCGUG
Molecule: unclassified non-coding RNA, 851 nt
Filed under: Bradyrhizobium sp.
Lineage: Bacteria; Pseudomonadati; Pseudomonadota; Alphaproteobacteria; Hyphomicrobiales; Nitrobacteraceae
Description: partial may contain 16S ribosomal RNA, 16S-23S ribosomal RNA intergenic spacer, and 23S ribosomal RNA
Rfam family: Bacterial small subunit ribosomal RNA (bases 1-131)
Source: RNAcentral